Molecule: small nuclear RNA, 336 nt
Filed under: Saimiri boliviensis boliviensis (Bolivian squirrel monkey)
Lineage: Eukaryota; Metazoa; Chordata; Mammalia; Primates; Cebidae
Description: 7SK RNA (ENSSBOG00000001920.1)
Rfam family: 7SK RNA
About the family: 7SK was discovered as an abundant small nuclear RNA in the mid-70s but a possible function has only recently been suggested. Two independent studies have found that 7SK RNA binds the CDK9/cyclin T complex (known as elongation factor P-TEFb).
Source: Rfam by way of RNAcentral
GCAUGUGAGGACGAUCUGGCUGCAACAAUCGUCACCCCAUUGACUGUGCACCCCUUCAGAAGGGAGCACAGGGAGCAGUGAGGGGCUGAUUCAGCUGCUCUGGCUACUUAACUGGAUCUCCCUUCCUCCCUCCCUGCUCCAUGGGCGUCCCACCUGACGCUGCAUGCUGGGUCAAAGGGGAGGUCCGUUUCCAAUGAGGAGGACUUGCCUUUGGUCAAGGGUAAGCAAGAGGUUGCCCCCCACCCCCCGCUAGAACCUCCCAAGAAGCUCUCGAGGAAAUGCAGGACCACAAGAUAAGCCUCCUCUCCAUUUUUUUGUCAAUGGAUAGCAGCAAAU